UAUUGCACAAUGGGGGGAACCCUGAUGCAGCGACGCCGCGUGAGGGAAGAAGGUUUUUGGAUUGUAAACCUCGGUCCUUGGUAAAGAAGCAAGACGGUAGCCAAGGAGGAAGCCACGGCUAACCACGUGCCAGCAGCCGCGGUAAUACGUAGGUGGCAAGCGUUGUCCGGAAUUACUGGGUGUAAAGGGAGCGUAGGCGGUUAUGCAAGUUGAAUGUGAAAUCUAUCGACUCAACUGAUAGGCUGCGUUCAAAACUGUAUAUCUUGAGUGAAGUAGAGGCAGGCGGAAUUCCUAGUGUAGCGGUGAAAUGCGUAGAUAUUAGGAGGAACACCAGUGGCGAAGGCGUCUUACUGGACCGAAACUGACGUUGAGGCUCGAAAGCGUGGGGAGCAA
This 393-nucleotide ribosomal RNA is filed under the name uncultured bacterium. RNAcentral's name for it is "bacterial SSU rRNA". It matches the Rfam family "Bacterial small subunit ribosomal RNA", at positions 362 to 771 of the family's 1533-position model. The record is from RNAcentral.